GACUCUCGGCAACGGAUAUCUCGGCUCACGCAUCGAUGAAGAACGUAGCAAAAUGCGAUACUUGGUGUGAAUUGCAGAAUCCCGUGAACCAUCGAGUUUUUGAACGCAAGUUGCGCCCGAAGCCAUUUGGUUGAGGGCACGUCUGCCUGGGCGUCACGC
RNAcentral lists this ribosomal RNA (159 nucleotides) under Pseudognaphalium luteoalbum. RNAcentral describes it as "5.8S ribosomal RNA". It matches the Rfam family "5.8S ribosomal RNA". From Rfam's summary of the family: 5.8S ribosomal RNA (5.8S rRNA) is a component of the large subunit of the eukaryotic ribosome. It is transcribed by RNA polymerase I as part of the 45S precursor that also contains 18S and 28S rRNA. The record is from RNAcentral. Lineage: Eukaryota; Viridiplantae; Streptophyta; Magnoliopsida; Asterales; Asteraceae. RNAcentral also lists the same sequence under 4 other names.